RNAcentral lists this ribosomal RNA (253 nucleotides) under uncultured bacterium. RNAcentral describes it as "partial 16S ribosomal RNA". It matches the Rfam family "Bacterial small subunit ribosomal RNA", at positions 524 to 776 of the family's 1533-position model. The record is from RNAcentral.
UACGGGGGGGGCAAGCGUUGUCCGGAUUUAUUGGGCGUAAAGAGCUCGUAGGCGGCUUGUCGCGUCGUCCGUGAAAACUUGUGGCUUAACCACAGGCUGGCGGUCGAUACGGGCAAGCUGGAGUUCGGUAGGGGAGACUGGAAUUCCUGGUGUAGCGGUGAAAUGCGCAGAUAUCAGGAGGAACACCGGUGGCGAAGGCGGGUCUCUGGGCCGAUACUGACGCUGAGGAGCGAAAGCGUGGGGAGCGAACAGG